UGGGGAAUAUUGCACAAUGGAGGAAACUCUGACCCAGCAACGCCGCGUGAAGGAAGAAGGUUUUCGGAUUGUAAACUUCUGUAAUAGAGGAAGAAGAAAGUGACGGUACUCUAUUAGAAAGCUACGGCAAACUACGUGCCAGCAGCCGCGGUAAGACGUAGGUAGCAAGCGUUGUCCGGAAUAACUGGGCGUAAAGGGAGCGUAGGCGGUUUUGUAAGUCUAAUGUGAAAGUCUGUGGCUCAACCAUAGAAUUGCAUUGGAUACUGUAAGACUGGAGUACGGAAGAGGUAUACGGAAUUACUAGUGUAGCGGUGGAAUGCGUAGAUAUUAGUAGGAAGACCAGAGGCGAAGGCGGUAUACUGGGACGAUACUGACGCUGAGGCUCGAAAGCGUGGGGAGCAAACAGG
Molecule: ribosomal RNA, 407 nt
Filed under: uncultured prokaryote
Also listed under: 1 other name
Description: bacterial SSU rRNA
Rfam family: Bacterial small subunit ribosomal RNA
Source: RNAcentral